AUGAACGCUAGCGGCAGGCUUAACACAUGCAAGUCAGGGGUAGAAGGAGCUUGCUCCUUUGAAGACCGGGCGCACGGGGUGCGUAACGCGUAUGCAAUCUACCUUUUUGCAGAGGGAUAGCCCAGAGAAAUUUGGAUUAAUACCUCAUAGUAUGUGAGGAUGGCAUCAUUUUCACAUUAAAGUCACAACGGCAAAAAGAUGAGCAUGCGUCCCAUUAGCUAGUUGGUAAGGUAACGGCUUACCAAGGCUACGAUGGGUAGGGGUCCUGAGAGGGAGAUCCCCCACACUGGUACUGAGACACGGACCAGACUCCUACGGGAGGCAGCAGUGAGGAAUAUUGGACAAUGGGCGCAAGCCUGAUCCAGCCAUGCCGCGUGCAGGAUGACGGUCCUAUGGAUUGUAAACUGCUUUUGUACAGGAAGAAACACUACUUCGUGAAGUAGCUUGACGGUACUGUAAGAAUAAGGAUCGGCUAACUCCGUG
Molecule: ribosomal RNA, 483 nt
Filed under: uncultured bacterium
Lineage: Bacteria
Description: bacterial SSU rRNA
Rfam family: Bacterial small subunit ribosomal RNA
Source: RNAcentral